UUGGACCUGAUAUCAAACAAGACUACCCG
Molecule: ribosomal RNA, 29 nt
Filed under: Saprolegnia parasitica
Lineage: Eukaryota; Oomycota; Saprolegniomycetes; Saprolegniales; Saprolegniaceae
Description: partial 28S ribosomal RNA
Source: RNAcentral